GUGCAUGCUUCAGCAGCACAUAUACUAAAAUUGGAAGGAUACAGAGAUUGUCAUAGGUCCUGCAUAGGAUAACACACAAAUUCAUGAAGUGUUUCAUAUUAAA
Molecule: small nuclear RNA, 103 nt
Organism: Phyllostomus discolor (pale spear-nosed bat)
Lineage: Eukaryota; Metazoa; Chordata; Mammalia; Chiroptera; Phyllostomidae
Source: RefSeq, a predicted model, not a curated record